GUUGCUUCGGCGGUGCGCUCCCCCCGGGGGCAGCCGCCGGAGACCACACCGAACCUCUUGUUAUAGCGUGUCGUCUGAGCUUGAUACAAGCAAACAUUAAAACUUUCAACAAUGGAUCUCUUGGUUCCGGCAUCGAUGAAGAACGCAGCGAACUGCGAUAAGUAAUGUGAAUUGCAGAAUUCAGUGAAUCAUCGAGUCUUUGAACGCACAUUGCGCCCCCUGGCAUUCCGGGGGGCAUGCCUGUCCGAGCGUCAUUGCUGCCCUUCAAGCCCGGCUUGNGUGUUGGGUCNUCNUCCCCCCCGGGGGANGGGCCCGAAAGGCAGCGGCGGNACCGCGUCCUGGUCCUCGAGCGUAUGGGGCUUUGUCACCCNCUCGUUUARGGCCGGCCGGGCGCCAGCCGGCGUCUCCAAACCUUUUAUUCCAGGUUGACCUCGGAUCAGGUAGG
Molecule: ribosomal RNA, 445 nt
Filed under: Aspergillus ustus
Lineage: Eukaryota; Fungi; Ascomycota; Eurotiomycetes; Eurotiales; Aspergillaceae
Description: eukaryotic LSU rRNA
Rfam family: 5.8S ribosomal RNA (bases 101-254)
Source: RNAcentral